CAAUUCUCUGUGAAUUGUGUUGCU
Molecule: non-coding RNA, 24 nt
Filed under: Arabidopsis thaliana (thale cress)
Lineage: Eukaryota; Viridiplantae; Streptophyta; Magnoliopsida; Brassicales; Brassicaceae
Source: RNAcentral